AUGGAUUGCGGGGCCCAGGGGACGCUCUCCUGCGUGGUGACAAGGGCUGUGGGGAACCCGGGGCCCCCCCUGUCCCCCCUCUCCCCUUUUCCAGCCCCUCACCACAGGCCUGCGUCCUGCCAGCCGCCGGCUCCUCUGCGCCAGCGGGUCCCCGGGGCUCUCCGCCGCCCCUCUGCCCCCCCAGGGGACGUCCUCCCCGCUCGCCUUCGGGGGGUCCUCGUCCUCGGGGAUGGGGUUGUACCAGAUCUCGCCCUCGCUGCCGGCCCCACCGGCCUCGGCCUCGGCCCCGCCGCCACCAGCCUCGUCCAGCCCCGGUGCCUUCGCCGAGGACAGGACCCAGUGCCGGCUGCUCCGCUCCAGGCUCUGCAGGUAGGCGCCGUGCCCCGGGCUCCUGCUGGGACCACCGAGCUCCACGGAGCCGUUGGCUGCUUCGGCCUCCUCCGCCGGCUCGGGGGGCUCCUCGCCGGGGGGCUCCAGGCCUGGCCAGGGGGUGCUGGAGGCCGGAUCCAGCUCGCCGGCCUCCCCCGGCUCCGGGGAAGCUUUGGGAGCCGUCACCCCCCUCCCGCCGGGCUCAUCGCGGGCCGCCGCAGGAGAAACGGGCCCAGUUCUGCUUGCGGGGCGCUGCCGGCUCCGGUGACACCGGGGCCGCCUCGGGGUCCGCCGGCGACUCGGGGCUUGGCGGAGGAUGCUCUGCGGGAAGGGAGAAAGGCCGGGGCUUGGCGGGGGUCCCCACCAGCGUCCCAUGGGGCCACCCCCCCCCACUCCGAGCCCCGAAUCCGCUGCCGGGGCCGCGGAGGCAGCUGCGCGCAGCCCCUUGCCAAGAGGGAUUUCCGGCUGUUUACGGCCGGGCGGCCCCGCUGCCGCGCUCCCACCAUCCCGGGGGGGCUCGCCAAGAGGAUUGGGGGGGGGCUCGGCCGGGCCCUGCUGCACCCCAUGGAUGGGGGACACGGCCUGCAUCCCGGUGGGCACGGCUCUGCCUCCGUCCCCGUGGCCUGCACCCCCUGCUCACACACAUGCAGGCUGGGGGGGGGGGGCUCAGUGCGCCCCCAAUUCUCUGCACCCCUCCCGGAGCAUUUGUGCGCCCCGGGUCGCCUGCACCCCUCCUGCACCCCACUCGUGUCACACCAGCACCCGCGCCCAGUCCCAGGUCCCCGUCCCACCGGAGCACCCCCGUGGGGCUCACCCCCAGGUGCUGUCACAGCCCCCCACCCCUCCAAGAUGUGA
RNAcentral lists this long non-coding RNA (1224 nucleotides) under Anas platyrhynchos (mallard). Its description in RNAcentral is "lncRNA (ENSAPLG00020015080.1)". Lineage: Eukaryota; Metazoa; Chordata; Aves; Anseriformes; Anatidae. The record is from RNAcentral.